Molecule: long non-coding RNA, 1781 nt
Filed under: Brassica rapa (field mustard)
Lineage: Eukaryota; Viridiplantae; Streptophyta; Magnoliopsida; Brassicales; Brassicaceae
Description: long non-coding RNA (BRAP_LNC004596)
Source: RNAcentral
CAGAACACACCGACAACAAACUUUCAGUUUCUUAAGAUUCAUUUUGUAACUUUUAAUAGGUUUCCUUUUCAUGAAUCAAAAUUUUCACGAAGAAAGAGACAUCAUGAUGGAUAUCGAAGAAACAAAAAAAAGAUGAUUUUGAUGCGAGCAUAUUUCUUAUGGUGGUGAUGGUUUCUAGAGAUGCUCAGUUUCAAAACUCAAAAAGCGUCUCCUGGGUUAACAUUCUAUAGAACGCAACGCCUCCUUCGCCGACCAGUCACAAUGCUCGGAGAACGAUACAUACAGAAGGUAUUAAAUAAAGAUUUUCAACACUUUCGGGUGUUGUACCAUAUGUUUUCAGAUGUGUUUCUAAUUCAUGUGCAUUCCUUUAAAAUUCUUAAAGAAAAAUAAACAUGAGAAUUAUGUAAAUGCAUUAAAAUAUCAGCGAAUCUUAAACGACUACAAAAAUUAUUAUUUAUGAAUUUUCUCAAAUUCUAUUAAAUUCCUCGAUUAAAUACCAUCCCCUUAGAGUUUAAAAAUGUUUUAUUUUAAUUAUUGAUAGUUUAUUUUGUAAAAUUUUAAAUUUAUUUUGAUUAAAUUUGAUGGAAUUUAGGUUUUUCUUUUCUUUUUAGAUCCUAAGUAUCUCAACCCGAUCCGGACCCAAAAAUUACAGCUAUUUUAAAGGUAUUUUAAUUAUAUAUCCGAACCAAUCUGGAUACGAGAAGAACCGACAUGAAUCUGAACCGAAAAUUUAAAAAUGUCUAUUGAAUCCAAAUAUCUAGAAUCCGAAGGAUCCGGACCAAACCCGACCCAAAGACCGCAGAGUGUCAUGAGUUAUUCUUUUUUACGUUUUUUUAAUCUAAUUUUAUGUCCAGUUAUUCCUUACUACUCUCUCUUACUUUUAUCACCUAUCAUUUAUUUUACCACUAAAUACUUUAGUUCUUUUGUCAAUUAUCAGAAAACAGAUUAACAUAGUGAUAUCUCAUGUUUUUAUAGGCUUUUAACAUUUCAUUUGAAUGCAUUUUGAUCAUUAGAUGGCAUAUUAGGUGUAUAUAUUACAUUAAUUAGAGUGUUCAUUUGCAUAUCCUAGGGUUUGGAUUGCACAAAUGAGAAGUUUGGGGCUAAAUUGUGGGGUUAUUCCUACAAACUACAAAAUUUGUGGUUGAAUUGAAAACCAUCAUGAGACGAGGGAUCAUUCUGCAAUUAAAAGGAGGUCUAAUCUGUACACCUGAAAACUUUGUGGUUGAUCGGAGGGGUGUAUAUGUAAUUUCCAUAGUUGUGGGGUGAUCGGAGUAAAUAUUAAAAACGUCAAGGACCUGUUGUGGAAAAAUAUGAAAACCAGCCAAUGGAGUUGUGCGAUCUUCUUCUCGCCGGAUCUGGUGCACAACGACGACGGCGAAGGCUAGGCUGACGAUGAGUUGUGGUUUCAGACCGUCACGGAGGAGCGCUCGACGAGGAAGACAGAGACGAGACUGAAGACUCACGCCUACGAAGGCGGGAGAGGAACGUGGGCUUAUCAUACACAUUGCAUGACUUCAAUUGGUUGUCUAUUUUUCUGUCAAAUGAUAACGCUUUACGACUUAAACUAUCUCAAACGUUUUAACAAGCCAUCUAGAAUCUCUCCCCACAAACUGUAGUUUUAUAAAGAAAAAAAAUAAAGAAUGACAAUUUUCUAAAUAUUCACCGGUCAAAUCAUUAAUACUAAAUUUUGUAACUGGAAGUAACCGGAAAAAAAUAUUCAAGACUCAUAAGUUUGUCUUGGGUUGAGACAAGAAUAUUCAUAGCACAAUACUUCGUUUACA